This 64-nucleotide transfer RNA is filed under the name Anelytra obtusa. RNAcentral's name for it is "tRNA-Phe". The record is from RNAcentral. RNAcentral also lists the same sequence under 1 other name. Lineage: Eukaryota; Metazoa; Arthropoda; Insecta; Orthoptera; Tettigoniidae.
ACUUGAAUAGCUUAUAUAGAGCGUGACAUUGAAGCUGUUAAGGAGAUUAAUUAAUCUUUAAGUA